This 545-nucleotide ribosomal RNA is filed under the name uncultured eukaryote. RNAcentral describes it as "bacterial SSU rRNA". It matches the Rfam family "Eukaryotic small subunit ribosomal RNA", at positions 548 to 1098 of the family's 1831-position model. The record is from RNAcentral.
UUGGAGGGCAAGUCUGGUGCCAGCACCCGCGGUAAUUCCGGCUCUAGUAGCGUAUAUUAAAGUUGUUGCAGUUAAAAAGCUCGUAGUCUGACUUCGGGCUGGGCUGUGAAGGCUCACCGCAAGGUGGGACGGAUAGCCUGGCCUUACCCUCUGAUGUGCUCUCUGCUCUUAACUGAGUGGAUCUGUCGCACAGAGGCGUUUACCUUGAGCAAAUUGAGGUGUUCAAGGCAGGCAUAAUCGCUCGUACACAUUAGCAUGGGAUAAUGAAAUAGGGCCUUGGGUUCGCUGUUGCCGGUUGGUGAGCCCGGGCAAUGAUCAACAGGGGCGGUCGGGGUGCUUCAUAUGCAGGCGCUAGAGGUGAAAUUCUUGGACCGUCUGCAGAUGCCCAGAUGCGAAAGCGUUGCACCAGUACGUCCCCAUUGAUCAAGAACGAAAGUUAAGGGAGCGAAGACGAUCAGAUACCGUCGUAGUCUUAACCCUAAACGAUACCGACCAGGGAUCGAGGAUAGUCCCAUGGUUGACUCCUUCGGCGCCUUACGGGAAAC